This 1846-nucleotide ribosomal RNA is filed under the name Heterodiophrys zhui. RNAcentral describes it as "eukaryotic LSU rRNA". It matches the Rfam family "Eukaryotic large subunit ribosomal RNA", at positions 23 to 1874 of the family's 3401-position model. Lineage: Eukaryota; Ciliophora; Spirotrichea; Euplotida; Uronychiidae. The record is from RNAcentral.
ACCCCCUGAACUUAAGCAUAUCACUAAGGGGAGGAAAAGAAACUAACAAGGAUUGCCCUAGUAUCGGCGAGAGAAGCGGCAAAAGCCCAAAUUGGUAAUCUCCGGGACUAAUCUCGGCGAAUUGUAAUCUAAAGCCUUGUUCUAAACAAGUUCCUUCGGAUAAUUUAUCUGAAAAGAUGAGCCAUAGAGAGUGAAAGCCUCGUCUAUGCUGAAGGAAUUUACAACAGAACUGUGGCGAAGAGUCGGGUUGUUUUGAAUUGCAGCCCUAAUUGGGAGAUAAACUUCUUCUAAGGCUAAAUAUUAGUAGGAGACCGAUAGCGAACAAGUACUGUGAAGGAAAGAUGAAAAGAACUUUGAAAAGAGAGUUAAAAGACCUGAAAUCGUUCAGAAGGAAGCGGUAGAAGUUUAUUAUUGCCUCCUGAUCUAAAGCGUCGUCUAACUAUUGCUGAACGACGAAUUCGCAAGAUUUGUCCUAAGGCAUCUGGGGAAACGGCGUCUCUGGUCUAGGGUAUUAGGCAGAAUGAAGUGUAGUAAUCGUAUAAAUCUGUAGGUCUGCGGUUUCGGCCCAGACUUAUAGUGUGACGAAUAUUAUGCUUGAGGGGCUUCGGCGAUUCUGUCAAAAUGGCUUUUACCGACCCGUCUUGAAACACGGACCAAGGAGUCUAACAUAUAUGCAAGUGUGGUGGUGUUAAACCAACACGCGUAAUGAAAGUGAGUGAUGCGAACCGCAAGGGGCUGCAUCGGCCGACCAUGAUUCUUUGAAGAAAGGUUUGAGUAUGAGCAUAUCUGUUAGGACCCGAAAGAUGGUGAACUAUGCCUGAGUAGGGUGAAGUCAGGGGAAACUCUGAUGGAGGCUCGUAGCGAUACUGACGUGCAAAUCGUUCGUCGAACUUGGGUAUAGGGGCGAAAGACUAAUCGAACUAUCUAGUAGCUGGUUCCCUCCGAAGUUUCCCUCAGGAUAGCAAAGACAAAAUAGUAGUUUUAUCAGGUAAAGCUAAUGAUUAGAGGCAUCUGGGAUGCAUCGUUCUAGACCUAUUCUCAAACUUUAAAUUGGUAAGAACAGAGGGGUGCUUAAGUGACCACCUCUGGUUGAAUACUUGUCUUUAGUGGGCCAUUUUUGGUAAGCAGAACUGGCGAUGAGGGAUGCACCUAGCGCUCAGUUAAGGUGCCUAACUACACGCUCAUCAGAUACCACAAAAGGUGUUGAUUCAUUUAGACAGCAGGACGGUGGCCAUGGGAGUCGGAAUCCGCCAAGGAGUGUGUAACAACUCACCUGCCGAAUGGAUUAGCCCUGAAAAUUGAUGGCGCUCAAGCGUGUGACCGAUACUGGGCUAUUGCAAUGAGAUUGUGAUUGCAAUAAGUAGGGGGGCGUGGGCAUUGUGACGAAGCCUUUAGCGUGAGCUUGGGUUGAACAGUGUCUAGUGCAGAUCUUGGUGGUAGUAGCAAUUAUUCAAAUGAGAACUUUGAGGGCCGAAGUGGAGAAGGUUUCCAUGAGAACAGCAAUUGGUCAUGGGUGACUCGAUCCUAAGACAUUGGGGAAUUCCUUGUAAGUGGGCUUCGGCUCGCGGUCAAAAGGGAAUGAGGUUGAUAUUCCUCAAGCUGGAUAUGGAUAUUGUGGCAACACAAAUGAGCUCAGAAACACCAGCCCGAGACUCUGGAAGAGUUAUCUUUUCUUUUUAACAAGUUAGCAUCCUUGAAAUUGGAUUAACCAGAGAUAAGGUUGCAAGCUUGGCAAAGCAUCGAGCUUUUUCGAUGUCAGGUGAUCUCGAGAUGGUCCAUGAAAAUCUGAGUGAGAGUUCUAUUCCUUACCAGGUCGUACCAAUAACCGCAUCAGGUCUCCAAGGUU